GGAAGUCUACGAAGAGCGAAUUGCAAGCUAUUGGAAGAUCUUCCAGUCACAUAAAGAAUAUUAUUGCCAAAAUCCUCUUGCUCAAAAGCUCCUCACGCUGCAGGCUGAAAAAGAGGAGAUUGAGUCAAGGUUAAAGGCCUGUGAUGAUCAGAUAACAGUGAAACAGAAGGAGCUAGAGCUUCUCACUGGUCCAGCAGUCAAUUCUUCUUCCACUGAGAAACUACCAGACAGGUAUCUUUCAGUGAAUCUUUCAAAUAGCAAAUACUGAUGACAUAGCCUCGAGCAAAGCUUAGUUUUUCUCUGAUUGAGUCCACUUUUCUUCCUAGCGUUUCUGGCCAGCAGCCCAUAACAGAACCAGAGAAACAAUUAGAUACUCCUUCAGAGGAGAACAGUGAUUGUUCCAUUGACAUCUCCUCUCUUCAUCUCACCCAGACAAAGGUACUCUGAUAUGUCAAUAAAUAAUAGUGAUAGUGUAAAGCUGAGGAAAUUCUAGCUACUACAAAUUGUUAAAGUUAAAGCUGAUUCUGUCAUGACCACUAACAGUUAAACCUUAAUAGAUCUCGCAGAAUGGUCACAACACUUCUGUCAAGGAAAAUGCAGAAGAAAUUCAUGAGGAAAACAAGGACCAGAAUACUGUGGUCUGCAGCCCUUUACCAGAAAAAGCAAGCAACGGGCGUUGGUCCAGUCAGCAGUUUGAUGAUAAAAGACGGCAAGAUGUGAUGCACACUGAAGAGCAGGACCAGGAAACUAAACCAGAGGACCAGGUCUUGGAACAGCAGCCAGUUGUAUCAGACAUGGAUGAGGCAAUGGAGCAGGAGGAAAUGGAAGUAAGAGCAGUUAUAGAGGAAGAGCAGGCAGCAACCAAAGACGACAGGAUCGGUCUUGAUGCUUUUCCUCAGUCAUCGUCUCAAGAAACUAAUCCUGAGUCUUCCACAGCAACACUGAAUACUGUGCCUACAACCCCAACGUUCCCGUUUAACUACAGCCCAGGCAGCUCCCCACAUCGAGGGACCUCUGAUACCAAAUCUCCAGCUUUCCUGUUCUCUCUGAACUCUGAUCCUGGCACCCCGGGCUUCUCUGGAUUUGGAUUUGACGUGGGCUCAUCGCAGGAUGAGGUGAGGAGUAAGCAAAAGGAAUAA
Molecule: long non-coding RNA, 1139 nt
Filed under: Sparus aurata (gilthead seabream)
Lineage: Eukaryota; Metazoa; Chordata; Actinopteri; Spariformes; Sparidae
Description: lncRNA (ENSSAUG00010027459.1)
Source: RNAcentral